GACAGGCAAGACAGCGGAGGCACUCCGAGAGAUCUUCAGGAUUUAUGACCGCCAUGUGAGUUUAAGAUUAACUUUGCUGUGAGCACAAUGAUGGUUCUUGAUGAUGAUUUGAUGAUUUUGUAAGUUGAACUGGCUUGAUAUACUGGUAAAUAUUUCUAUAAUGAUUACUAUGUUUUGGUUGUCAAUCUAGGAACAACAUGAUGUAAACAUGAGACGCAGUCUGGCCCUUCGUGCCCUUCCGGUGUACCUAAGAGAGGAUGACUCUGAUUUCUUCAAGACCUGGAAUCAAGAAGAUGAGCCAGACAUUGCUGACACUCCUGUGGGUCUCCUUACUGUGGUCACUGACAACACAACUCAUUUCAGCCCCAAGAGCAUUUCUGUUUUCAUCGAAGAUGAAAUUGUUGUGAGUGAUCUCCCUAGGUUGACUGAUGUUAAGUUUUUAGAUAACUGUUCAGGAAUCAGUGUUCUUAACUCCUGCUUUUAAAAUAAAUCCGGCUGUGUCAUUUUGUUUUAUUUUCUCAUCUUAAUCUUAAUCUUAACCAAUGCUAACCCUAUUGCCCAGCCCAAGUUUUUGUACUGAAUAAACGUACGGGAAACGACUGUUCAAUUCAUGCACUAUACAUGUUUAAUGUUCUGUUGCCUAAUGCCUACCUUGAUGUUGCCAAUUGAAGUACGUCACAGUAGAAACCAGUACUGUAUUUGAAUGUUUUAUUUGAAAAAAGUGAGUUGCAGCCUUCAAGGUACAGUAAGAGCCAAAACGUUUUUAAACAGUGUUAAAUGGCUCCACAUUCUAAUAGUUGUCAUUGCUGUUGAGGAUGGAUUAUACUUAGAAUCUUAUUGAAUUUUAUCACGAAUCCUUUGUGAGUUUUUAUCAUAAUGUUUACUGAAUAAUGUGAGAUGGAGACCCAAAAUACUGAAUCUACCCUCUGUAGCAAUGACCACUAUCAGAAUAUGGAACUAUUAACACUUAAUGUACUUUAAAACACAUUUUGUUUUCCUGGAGUCAUUUCCUUUUCCUUUUAUUUUAAUUUAUGACGAGCACUUUGUUUUGACUGAGCUCCUUUGAUUCGUGCCUUUUAAAAAGCACAUUGUGUUGAAUAAAAAAAGUUGUUAAAUUGUCA
Dicentrarchus labrax (European seabass) is the source of this 1121-nucleotide long non-coding RNA. RefSeq lists it as uncharacterized. NCBI's taxonomy places the organism in Eukaryota, Metazoa, Chordata, Actinopteri, Moronidae. The transcript has 2 exons. The record is from RefSeq and is a predicted model, not a curated record.